This 263-nucleotide unclassified non-coding RNA is filed under the name Hevea brasiliensis (rubber tree). Lineage: Eukaryota; Viridiplantae; Streptophyta; Magnoliopsida; Malpighiales; Euphorbiaceae. The record is from RNAcentral.
UGAUUACAACAUUCAGAAGGAGUCUACCCUUCACCUUGUCCUUCGUCUCCGUGGUGGUUUCUGAACUUUUCUUCUGGAAAUGGGAAAACUUGGCAUGUGUGGGUGGCCUUGUUUGCGGCCAUGGGAAUGAGUUUGGGAUACUUCUGUUUCUUUUGCUUUUCAAGUAUGUUGUUUCUAAAUGUUCUCUCAAGUUCGCAAUUUAGGGAGAACAGUAUUCUAUAUGAUAUGUAUAAUACUAGUGGGUUCAGAUAAAUAAAUUGGAA